GGCCUGAUGGUCUAGUAGUAUGAUUCCUCGUUCGGGAGAUAAUCCAAGGCUCAUCGUAGCUUAAAAUCGAGGAGGUCCCGGGUUCAAUUCCCGGUCAGGCCC
Macrolepiota fuliginosa MF-IS2 is the source of this 102-nucleotide non-coding RNA. The record is from the annotation of a GenBank genome assembly. NCBI's taxonomy places the organism in Eukaryota, Fungi, Basidiomycota, Agaricomycetes, Agaricales, Agaricaceae.